UUACGGGAGGCAGCAGUAGGGAAUAUUGCACAAUGGGCGAAAGCCUGAUGCAGCAACGCCGCGUGUGCGAUGAAGGCCUUCGGGUCGUAAAGCACUUUUCUGGGAGAUGAGAAAGGACAGUAUCCCAGGAAUAAGUCUCGGCUAACUACGUGCCAGCAGCCGCGGUAAAACGUAGGAGGCAAGCGUUAUCCGGAUUCACUGGGUGUAAAGCGCGUGCAGGCGGUUCGGUAAGUUGGGCGUGAAAUCUCCUGGCUCAACUAGGAGAGGUCGUCCAAUACUACCGGACUUGAGAGUGGUAGAGGAAGAUGGAAUUCCCGGUGUAGUGGUGAAAUGCGUAGAUAUCGGGAGGAACACCAGUGGCGAAGGCGAUCUUCUGGACCAUUUCUGACGCUCAGACGCGACAGCUAGGGUAGCAAACGGGAUUAGAUACCCCGGU
RNAcentral lists this ribosomal RNA (436 nucleotides) under uncultured bacterium. RNAcentral describes it as "bacterial SSU rRNA". It matches the Rfam family "Bacterial small subunit ribosomal RNA", at positions 339 to 791 of the family's 1533-position model. The record is from RNAcentral.